Molecule: microRNA precursor, 194 nt
Filed under: Pelobates cultripes (western spadefoot toad)
Lineage: Eukaryota; Metazoa; Chordata; Amphibia; Anura; Pelobatidae
Source: RNAcentral
GUACAAGGCUAAAUAGGGCCCUGGGAUGAGGCACCUGUGACAGGGAGGGGUGCAAAACCAAGGAGUUGGCUAGACUCCCAAAUAUAUAUAAAACAAGAGGGGGAAUAUAUAUUUGGGAGUCUAGCCAACUCCUUGGUUUUGCACCCCUCCCUGUCACAGGUGCCUCAUCCCAGGGCCCUAUUUAGCCUUGUACU